Molecule: long non-coding RNA, 1059 nt
Filed under: Coturnix japonica (Japanese quail)
Lineage: Eukaryota; Metazoa; Chordata; Aves; Galliformes; Phasianidae
Description: lncRNA (ENSCJPG00005000456.1)
Source: RNAcentral
AGGACACCCAAGGAAAAUAAAAAAGAUUUAUAAAAUAUAUUAAUAAAAAAACAAACACAGGAAAAAAAAAAAAACAACACAAAAACGCAAAAAAAAGAAUCAUACCAAACACACACACACACAACAUUUAAAAAUUUUUAAACCCCCCCCCCAAAUUAAAAAGCUUUUAAGAAUAACCCUCAAAUUAGAAGUGGCUAAGAAAAUGGAACAAUGAGGCCCCCUUCCCCGAGAAAAUGGGACCCGAGGAACCCGUCGGGUCCCGGAAGGGAAAAGAUGGACACCAUAAAGAGAUGGCGCCCGAGUGGGGCAGGAGAUCCCUAUGGAAGCUGUUCGGCCUCUGCCUGUUGGCCAGCUCCAUUAUGACCGCCGUGGGGCUGGGAAGCUUGAGCGUCAUCAAUAGGAAGGCGAUUAACGAGUUGCGUGUUAACAAGGUGGUUAAUGAGGUGGAGGGGGACAAAGGACGGCUCCGGUUCGUGUAUAGGAUGGGGAUGUCGGAGGUAAGUGGAUGGGGGGGAUAUGGGGUGGGGGGAGGAAGUGGGGGGGAAAAAAGUAGGGGAGAGGAAAUAGGGGGGGAUAUAGGGGGGAAAUAAGGGGGGAAGAGGAAGUAGGGGGGAUAUAGGGGGGAAAUAAGGGGGGAAAGAGCGACAUGUAGAGGGAUAUCAGGGGGGAAAUAUAGGGGGAAGAGGAAGUGGGGGGAUAUAGGGGGAGAAGAAGUGGGGGAGGAAGUGAGGAGGAAGUGGAAGUGGGGAGGAGGAAGAGGAAGGGAGGGAGGAAGAGGAAGUGGGAGGGGAAGGGGAAGAGGAAGUGGGGAGGAAGAGGAAGGGAAUGGGAAAAGGGAGGGGAAUAAGAGGGGGAAGGGAAGAAGGAAGAGGAAGAGGAAGAGGAAGAGGAAGAGGAAGAGGAAGAGGAAGAGGAAGAGGAAGAGGAAGGAAAAGACAAAGUGGGAGGGAAGAGGAUGUGUGGGGGGGAAGUGGGGAGGAAGUGGGGAGGAAGUGGGAGGGGAGAGGAGAGGAAGUAAGAGGGGGAAGGGAGGAAGGGGAGGGGAAGAGGAAGUGGGGG